Long non-coding RNA from Arabidopsis lyrata subsp. lyrata, 1689 nucleotides. RefSeq lists it as uncharacterized. The transcript has 3 exons. Lineage: Eukaryota; Viridiplantae; Streptophyta; Magnoliopsida; Brassicales; Brassicaceae. The record is from RefSeq and is a predicted model, not a curated record.
CUCUAUCUCUCAUUUUUCCCACAACUCUCCUGAGUAGUAUUACUCUGCAGAAAUCUCGCCGAAGUUAGCACCACCGAACCGCCGUCCACCCUCUCCCGUAACCGAGCCGACCAAGCCAACGGAAAGCUUAGUCGAAGGGUACCAUCGGAUUCGUGACGACGAGACGAAGCCGGAGACACCGAGCGCUGCCACCGCCGACGAGCCACACGCCGCCACGCGCCGGAAGAAGGAAGCGCGUGACGCCCACGCGCAGCCACGCGCCGCCGAGUCCUCGGAGCGUGGAGCUCACGCGCCGCCGCCGGUGACCGGAACCGCCGCUGUUCGCCAGAGCCGCCGUGACCGGCAGCCGUCCGUUCGCCGCCGGGAUUCCGCCGCCGCGUCGUCGCCGGACCGCCGUCGCCGCCAGUGACUUUUCUGGUAAGGUUCGCCGGAUUUGUUGCCGCCGACCGGUUUGGGUUAACCGGUCGGUUUAAAUUGAUUUAAUCCGGUUGAAAUCGAUUUGGUCUUGGUUUAGGUUAACCGGUUGGUUUAAAUCAAUUGAUUCUCGGUUUAGGAUAACCGUUCGGUUUAAAUCAAUUGGUUCUCGGUUAAAGUUAACCGGUCGGUUUAAAUCAAUUGAUUUCUGGUUUAAGUUAACCGGAUCGAUUUGACUGGUUGGACCGUUGACCGUUGACUGUUGACCGUUGACUUUGACCGUUGACCGUUGACUUUGACCAGUUGACCCGAAAACCGUUUUUCUUCGUUCGGACGCCGUUUGACUCGAUUUUUCGUUCCGGUUUCAGAUCCGGAGUCGGUUUAUUCAUUCGAGGUCCAGAAGUCGUAGGUUCAGCAUUGCUAAGAUCCGGAGUCGGUUUAUUCAUUCGAGGUCCAGAAGUCGUAGGUUCAGCAUUGCUAAGGUGAGGGCUAUUUCCAAACCGCUGUGCUUUGUUCGAGAAUCCUAAUUUACGAAUAGUGCAGCACUGAAUGUGAUGUGUUUCAAUGAUCGAGUCUAGUUAGUUUGAUUGCUUAAAUUGGACAUAGGAAGAUAGAUGAUUAAACCCAUUUGUUUGUCACAUACUGUUAAAUGUUUUUUUGUUAUAAAUAUAUAUAUAUAUAUAUAUAUAUUAUAUGAGAUAUAGCGGAUACAGAUAAAGGAACUUCUGUAUGGUGCCGCAUUGUUUGAGGUAGGGGUGAGGGCAAUGCAUAAUCGAUCUGUUGCCCUCCACCUUAAGAUCGAUAAGCGUCCCAGGGGCGGUGUGAGUGGGCACUAUCCCAUGAGUUACCUCUGUGUGAGGGUGUGAUUGGGCACUAUCCCAUAAAUGAUCUCGUUGAGGGUGUGAUUGGCCACUAUCCCUCCGUAGGAAAAUUGUAUGUUGAUUGAGCACUGUAGGUGCUGUGUUUGCUCAUAUUUUGUACUCCAUUAUUUUGCGAUUAGUUUUCUUGGCUGAGUCAGUGACAUGCGGACUUAGCAUCCCAUACCUCACUGAGCGACUCCCCUGUUGCUCACCCCUCUUUCCCCAUUUCAGGUGAGCCAGACGAGUAGUUAUGACUUGAUGAGUUGGGAUGUGUCAUUUUGGGAUGGAUUAUCGUUUUCAGUAUUCUAUUCGAGACUUUUAUUAAACAGUCGUGUUAUCGACUUAUGUGGAUUUAGUAUGUUUUAUCGGAUUUUUGCGCUGGUAUUUUAUAAAGAACUGGAUGUUUAUGGAAAAA